GGGGGUACUGGAGGACCAGAGUUGGGCUGUUGGGGGGUACAGGAGGACCAGAGUUGGGCUGUUGGGGGGUACUGGAGGACCAGAAGUUGGGCUGUUGGGGGUACAGGAGGACCAGAGUUGGGCUGUUGAGGGGUACUGGAGGACCAGAGUUGGGCUGUUGGGGGUACUGGAGGACCAGGGUUGGGCUGUUGGGGGUACUGGAGGACCAGGGUUGGGCUGUUGGGGGUACUGGAGGACCAGGGUUGGGCUGUUGGGGGUACUGGAGGACCAGGGUUGGGCUGUUGGGGGGUACAGGAGGACCAGGGUUGGG
Oncorhynchus tshawytscha (Chinook salmon) is the source of this 310-nucleotide long non-coding RNA. Lineage: Eukaryota; Metazoa; Chordata; Actinopteri; Salmoniformes; Salmonidae. The record is from Ensembl.